UACGGAGGGGGCAAGCGUUAUUCGGAAUUAUUGGGCGUAAAGGGCGCGUAGGCGGCCUGACAAGUCGUAGGUGAAAUCCCUCGGCUCAACCGAGGAAUUGCCUUCGAUACUGCCAGGCUCGAGGCCGGGAGGGGGUGGCGGAAUUCCCAGUGUAGCGGUGAAAUGCGUAGAUAUUGGGAGGAACACCAGUGGCGAAGGCGGCCACCUGGACCGGUUCUGACGCUGAGGUGCGAAAGCGUGGGGAGCAAACAGG
RNAcentral lists this unclassified non-coding RNA (253 nucleotides) under uncultured Acidobacteriota bacterium. RNAcentral describes it as "uncultured Acidobacteria bacterium contains 16S-23S intergenic spacer region". It matches the Rfam family "Bacterial small subunit ribosomal RNA", at positions 524 to 776 of the family's 1533-position model. The record is from RNAcentral. Lineage: Bacteria; Pseudomonadati; Acidobacteriota.